Molecule: ribosomal RNA, 425 nt
Filed under: uncultured bacterium
Lineage: Bacteria
Description: partial 16S ribosomal RNA
Rfam family: Bacterial small subunit ribosomal RNA
Source: RNAcentral
GUGGGGAAUCUUGCGCAAUGGGCGAAAGCCUGACGCAGCCAUGCCGCGUGAAUGAUGAAUGUCUUAGGAUUGUAAAAUUCUUUCACCGGGGACGAUAAUGACGGUACCCGGAGAAGAAGCUCCGGCUAACUUCGUGCCAGCAGCCGCGGUAAUACGAAGGGGGCUAGCGUUGCUCGGAAUUACUGGGCGUAAAGGGCGCGUAGGCGGACAGCGUAGUCAGAGGUGAAAGCCCAGGGCUCAACCUUGGAAUUGCCUUUGAUACUGGCUGUCUUGAGUGUGGGAGAGGUGAGUGGAACUCCGAGUGUAGAGGUGAAAUUCGUAGAUAUUCGGAAGAACACCAGUGACGAAGGCGACUCACUGGCCCAAUACUGACGCUGAGGCGCGAAAGCGUGGGGAGCAAACAGGAUUAGAUACCCCAGUAGUCC